Ascosphaera atra is the source of this 85-nucleotide non-coding RNA. NCBI's taxonomy places the organism in Eukaryota, Fungi, Ascomycota, Eurotiomycetes, Onygenales, Ascosphaeraceae. The record is from the annotation of a GenBank genome assembly.
GGUUGUAUGGUCUAGUGGUUAGGACAUGACGUUGUGGUUACUCUCCAAAUCCGUCAUAACCCGCGUUCGAUUCGCGGUACAACCA